GUAGGGAAUAUUGCACAAUGGGGGAAACCCUGAUGCAGCGACGCCGCGUGAAGGAAGAAGUAUCUCGGUAUGUAAACUUCUAUCAGCAGGGAAGACAAUGACGGUACCUGACUAAGAAGCCCCGGCUAACUACGUGCCAGCAGCCGCGGUAAUACGUAGGGGGCAAGCGUUAUCCGGAUUUACUGGGUGUAAAGGGAGCGUAGACGGACGGGCAAGUCUGAAGUGAAAGGCAGGGGCUCAACCCCUGGACUGCUUUGGAAACUGUCCAUCUAGAGUGCCGGAGAGGUAAGCGGAAUUCCUAGUGUAGCGGUGAAAUGCGUAGAUAUUAGGAGGAACACCAGUGGCGAAGGCGGCUUACUGGACGGUAACUGACGUUGAGGCUCGAAAGCGUGGGGAGCAAACAGG
RNAcentral lists this ribosomal RNA (405 nucleotides) under uncultured bacterium. RNAcentral's name for it is "bacterial SSU rRNA". It matches the Rfam family "Bacterial small subunit ribosomal RNA", at positions 354 to 776 of the family's 1533-position model. The record is from RNAcentral.